UGCCUUUUGUCCCACAAAAUCAUCCAUCUUGUUUUAUUUUUAGACUUUAUUUUUAUAUUUAACUAAGAAUUAAAUUCCUGCUAGGUGAGCUACAGUAGCGUGCCUUUGAAGAUCAGGUGCUUAAUCUUACUGCUGUAGAGACACUAAUGUCAUUUAUGUGAGUGCCACCUAUUCAGAGAUUUAGUUGCACAAUAUGGUUUGAUCAGCAGGUUUUUGGCACAACUUUGUGUUUGCUUAGUUAAUAUGCUAACCAAAAUGGGUGCAAAGUGAGCAAACCCCAAACAUGGACAGUGGCUCAGACAACUUUCUGGCUGUGUGCUUAAGAAAAUGGAGGAGUGGAGUCCCAUUUGGCAGGUGCUGUUGGAUGGAGGAGCUCUUUUAUUUCCAGAUUCCCUUCCUCAUACUAACUUCAGUUGUUUAUGGGGCUCACUGGGAGGGUAUUGCAUUUCAGAUGAUGGAUGAACAGAUAGCAUGAGGCUUUAAAGGAAAAACUUUCAUUUCACAUUUGUGAAUAUAGUAUGUUUUUCAAUAAGUUUAAGUGUUAUAGGCAUAUGCAUAUGCAGAUAUUACAUUUUCUUGCCUGUGGUUACUGGACCCAUCCAAUAAAGCAGAUACGUGGAGGUAUGGAUGGCAUCCUUGGCCAGUAGGCAAAGUCUUCAGUUAGCCAAGGCUUCUGUUUUUCCUCUUAGUGAUGGAAUGUAAGUCUCUGGGGUAAUAAUGAAGGCAACCUUACCAGCCCCAUGUGGUAAGGCCCCUGCCACUGGCCUGAUUAAUCUCAGUAAUAAUGGAAGGCAGUUUGGCAGUAAUGCUUUCGAGUCUGUUGUAAUUAAGAGAAUCUGUAAUUUACCUUUCUCCUUCUUCCCCAGAAAUUCAUAUUUUUAGUCACAGAAACAGCAUGGUAAAGUAUUACUCAGUUGUGCCCUGCUAUCUUUCAGCUCAUGCCUCAGGGCCCUCUUACCUUCUCUCUGGCCUUUCUGAGUGGUACUGUGAGGGCUAUAGGAUGACUCUGACUUGAGAAAGAAAGAAACCGGAGGAAUAGGAGACAUGGCAUUUUUAGCAGAUCUGAGGAAAGCACAGUACCAUGAUGGCAGUAAGAGGAGGAACAGGCAAAGCUUCUGUGAAGAAGCUUUCAUCUUUGAACACUGAGCAAGGAAUUGUGCCUCUGAAAGCUGCCUUCAGAGCUACAUGGAGCUAACUAAGCACAGGUAGUGCUCUCCAGAAGUCAUUGCUGCAGUGAGCACUGUCUGAUUCCAGGUGUGCCAGGAGGUGUGCUGCCCUUGGUCUGCUGAUUGGCUUCUCAUUGCUGUCCCAGGAGAGACAUCCUCAAGUGUUCGUUUUGUUAAUCAUCAGUAAUUAACUGAUAAUUGAACAGGUCACACAAGCAAUCUCACUGUAACAGUAAAGGUAGUAUCAUACCUCCAUCUCAUCAUACCUUCCCUUCCUGGGCCUAUCCUUUCCCCCAGUUUGAGAACUACUGUCCCCUUGUAGUCACAAUGCUAGCGGAAAUUGCAAGUCUUGCUCCAUCUGUAGUUUUUUUGGUUUUGUUUGUUUGUUGCAUGUGCUAGGAUUAAAUGCACACACCACCA
This is a long non-coding RNA of Mesocricetus auratus (golden hamster), 1586 nucleotides long. RefSeq lists it as uncharacterized. The record is from RefSeq and is a predicted model, not a curated record. The transcript is spliced from 2 exons. NCBI's taxonomy places the organism in Eukaryota, Metazoa, Chordata, Mammalia, Rodentia, Cricetidae.